CUUGAUGAUGACGAAACAAAAACAAAGCUGGAAUUACUGGCUGAAUAUCCGUGUUGAUAAGUUUUUGCACCAUUACUGAGA
Molecule: small nucleolar RNA, 81 nt
Filed under: Ogataea parapolymorpha DL-1
Lineage: Eukaryota; Fungi; Ascomycota; Pichiomycetes; Pichiales; Pichiaceae
Source: RNAcentral